UAGGGAAUUUUUCACAAUGAGCGAAAGCUUGAUGGAGCAAUGCCGCGUGAACGAUGAAGGUCUUUAAGAUUGUAAAGUUCUUUUAUUUGGGAAGAAUGACUUUAGCAGGUAAUGGCUAGAGUUUGACUGUACCAUUUUGAAUAAGUGACGACUAACUAUGUGCCUGCAGUCGCGGUAAUACAUAGGUCGCAAGCGUUAUCCGGAUUUAUUGGGCGUAAAGCAAGCGCAGGCGGAUUGAAAAGUCUGGUGUUAAAGGCAGCUGCUUAACAGUUGUAUGCAUUGGAAACUAUUAAUCUAGAGUGUGGUAGGGAGUUUUGGAAUUUCAUGUGGAGCGGUGAAAUGCGUAGAUAUAUGAAGGAACACCAGUGGCGAAGGCGAAAACUUAGGCCAUUACUGACGCUUAGGCUUGAAAGUGUGGGGAGCAAAUAGGAUUAGAUACCCUAGUAGUCCACACCGUAAACGAUAGAUACUAGCUGUCGGGGCGAUCCCCUCGGUAGUGAAGUUAACACAUUAAGUAUCUCGCCUGGGUAGUACAUUCGCAAGAAUG
Molecule: ribosomal RNA, 547 nt
Filed under: uncultured bacterium
Lineage: Bacteria
Description: bacterial SSU rRNA
Rfam family: Bacterial small subunit ribosomal RNA
Source: RNAcentral